Acinonyx jubatus (cheetah) is the source of this 1370-nucleotide long non-coding RNA. RefSeq lists it as uncharacterized. Lineage: Eukaryota; Metazoa; Chordata; Mammalia; Carnivora; Felidae. The record is from RefSeq and is a predicted model, not a curated record. The transcript has 2 exons.
GCUGGGGACAAUGACCCAUCACGGUGGGGCAGCGCAGCGCCUGGCGGGUGUCCCCGGGGGUGGCCCACGGGCUCCAUGGCUCACUGAGAAGCCACGAAGAGCGCCUGCCUCGAGGAGACACGGUGCCUGCAAAGGCCAGCCCACCUCCGGAAACCACCAACACACCAAGAGAAGCACAGGACCGUGUAUGUGUGCGCGCGCGUGUUACAUGCGUAUGACACGCAUGUGCACGGUGUGGCAGGCACAGGACACACGUGUGCACACACGUGUUACGUGCACCGGACGCCGUGUGCUUGUGCGUUACACACAGGACACGUGCAGGCACGUGGGUUGCAUGGCAGGACACGUGUGCGCACGCGUGUCACGUGCACAGGACACGUCUGUGUGUGUUACCUGCACACACCGAGGUGCGCACACGCUGGCAAAGGCUUGCGGUCCCCACCUGACCACUGUGGGGACCUGCAGAACGAAGAUGGGCUUUGGAGGACGGCAGGCCUGGGUCGAACCCCAUCCCAAUCUUCACCAGCUAGUUGAACGCGAGGGCUCCGCUUCGGGCCCAGCGCCUCCCCUGGCUGAAUGGAGCCGGCGAGAACCCCCGCCCGGCAGGCAUUUCUGAGACUCAGAAAUAAACCAAGGACUGCCAGCAGGUAUGGGGUGCUCUCUGUGAACCGAGCGCCGUGCUAAGCGUGCACUGUGCGUGUUCCUCCAAGGUGGGGACACUUACUGCGCCCAUUUUACAGAGGAGGAAAUGGGGCCACGGAGAGACGAAAUGGGGCCACGGAGAGACGAAAUGGCUUGCCUUGGAUCAACACAGCCAGGAAACGAAACCGACUGGGUCUGAGCCCUAGCCUCAGGCCCAGAGCUCACGCUCCUCUGUACUCUGCUUUCUCGAACGGGAAAGGUGCCCAGCGUGGUGCGGGCGCCCUGGGCGCGCACUGCUCCCAGUACAACCACCAUCACCCUCGCUUCUCUGCCGUUGAAUCGCAGGGCAGGGGCUGCUCUGCCUUGCCGACCUUUAAGGGCACCCAGACCGGCGUCAGCCACGUUCUCGGAGCUGCUGGUACUUUUCCUUGAAAUAAACAAGCCACAACAAAGCACUUCUAUUAACGAAUGGAAGGAGCCUCAGGGAGCCCGCAGAAGACGGCGGAAGGAAGCACCCGUGUCUCUCGUCUCUCUCGUUCAGGUUCGGCAGCGAGGGAAGGCGGCCUCAGCGGCUGGGAAGGGCAGAGCCUGAACCCAAAAUUCGGAAAAAGCAGAAGCAGUCACUUGAAAAUGAGGCGGGGGAGGGGGGCGUGGGGAAGAACCCUCAGAACCGAUUACAUCAUAACGUGAGCAAAUUCACAAAAUAAACAGUCACCGUUUUCAAAUUA